GAUGAACGCUGGCGGCGUGCCUAAUACAUGCAAGUCGAGCGAACGGACGAGAAGCUUGCUUCUCUGAUGUUAGCGGCUGACGGGUGAGUAACACAUGGAUACCCUACCUAUAAGACUGGGAUAACUUCGGGAAACCGGAGCUAAUACCGUAUGAUCUUUUGAACCGCAUUGUUCAAAAGUGAAAGACGGCCUUGCUGUCACUUAUAGAUGCAUCCGCGCUGCAUUAGCUAGUUGGUAAGGUAACGGCUUACCAAGGCAACGAUGCAUAGCCGACGUGAGAGGGUGAUCGGCCACCCGGGAACUGAGACACGGUCCAGACUCCUAAGGGAGGCAGCAGUAGGGAAUCUGACGCAAUGGGCGAAAGCCUGACGGAGCAACGCCGCGUGAGUGAUGAAGGUCUUCGGAUCGUAAAACUCUGUUAUUAGGGAAGAACAUAUGUGUAAGUAACUGUGCACAUCUUGACGGUACCGAAUCAGAAAGCCACGGCUAACUACGUG
Molecule: ribosomal RNA, 497 nt
Filed under: uncultured bacterium
Lineage: Bacteria
Description: partial 16S ribosomal RNA
Rfam family: Bacterial small subunit ribosomal RNA
Source: RNAcentral